This is a long non-coding RNA of Mytilus trossulus (common blue mussel), 207 nucleotides long. RefSeq lists it as uncharacterized. The record is from RefSeq and is a predicted model, not a curated record. NCBI's taxonomy places the organism in Eukaryota, Metazoa, Mollusca, Bivalvia, Mytilida, Mytilidae. The transcript is spliced from 3 exons.
AUCACGUUUAAUACACACAUUCAUAUGAUCAGUUUAAUAGUAUCAUUCACUUCAAUAAAACAGCUGGACUUCACAUUGUCUUAUUGAAUGUCAGAAUGAUCAAAGAGGUGCUUGAAUUAUCAGUUGGUAUUGGUGUAGGAUUUGCAGCUACUCGGUGUUUGAUACACGCAACACAGCCAGAAAAAAGGAAAAGAGAAAAACACCCUG